CCAGCCAUGCCGCGUGCAGGAAGAAUGCCCUAUGGGUAGUAAACUGCUUUUAUACGGGAAGAAAAAAGAGUACGUGUACUCUACUGACGGUACCGUAAGAAUAAGGACCGGCUAACUCCGUGCCAGCAGCCGCGGUAAUACGGAGGGUCCGAGCGUUAUCCGGAAUUAUUGGGUUUAAAGGGUCCGUAGGCGGGCCGAUAAGUCAGGGGUGAAAGUUUGCAGCUCAACUGUAAAAUUGCCUUUGAUACUGUUGGUCUUGAGUUAUAGUGAAGUUGCCGGAAUAUGUAGUGUAGCGGUGAAAUGCAUAGAUAUUACAUAGAACACCGAUUGCGAAGGCAGGUGACUAACUAUAUACUGACGCUGAUGGACGAAAGCGUGGGGAGCGAACAGGAUUAGAUACCC
This 402-nucleotide ribosomal RNA is filed under the name Maribacter sp. Asnod3C07. Its description in RNAcentral is "bacterial SSU rRNA". It matches the Rfam family "Bacterial small subunit ribosomal RNA", at positions 388 to 787 of the family's 1533-position model. The record is from RNAcentral. Lineage: Bacteria; Pseudomonadati; Bacteroidota; Flavobacteriia; Flavobacteriales; Flavobacteriaceae.